RNAcentral lists this long non-coding RNA (3784 nucleotides) under Homo sapiens (human). Its description in RNAcentral is "HSALNT0227917". The record is from RNAcentral. Lineage: Eukaryota; Metazoa; Chordata; Mammalia; Primates; Hominidae.
GCGCACCAGCAUGGCACAUGUAUACAUAUGUAACUAACCUGCACAAUGUGCACAUGUACCCUAAAACUUAAAGUAUAAUAAAAAAAAAAAAAGGAAAAAAAAGAAACUUAAAAAAAAAAAAUUGCUGAAACUCAGCUGGAUAUGGUGGCUCACACCUGUCAUCCCAGAACUUAGGAAGGCUGAAGUGGGCAGAUUACCUGUAGUCAGGAGUUCGAGACCAGCCUGGCCAACGGGUGAAACCCUGUCUCUACUAAAAAUACAAAAACUAGCCAGGCAUGGUGGCAUGUGUCUGUAAUCCCAGCUACUCAGGAGACUGAGGGAUGAGAAUUGCUUGAACCCAGGAGGUAGAGGCUGCAGUGAGCCAAGAUUGCAACACUGUACUCCUGCCUGGGAGACAGAGCGAGACCCUGUCUCAAAAAGAAAAAAAAAAGAAAAAAGAAAAAAAUUGCUGAAACUCUACUAGCAGAGUCGGAGAUGCUCUGGACCCUGCUAGCCCGGUAGAUGGUAUGAAAUAGAGAGACAGGGGAGACAGCCCUGGGUUUUCCAAGUGCAGAUGAAGUUUCUGUAGGGGCAUAGGCAAAGUAGCAAGGGUCUCUGAAAAUGGGGAGCCUCCACGUGUGCGAAGCUUGUCAUGGGGUCUGAGAUCAUUGAGUUCCUGAUCCUGUGUUGAAGUUUUGUUGGUGGAAAUGAGGGUGAAGCCAACCAGCUAAUGGAAAAGCCUGGUGAAAGGAAUGUGUGGGAAGUUCGCUGACCUGGGUUUCAGCUGCAUCUCUGACUUUAUCUAAGUUGUCAAAAAGACCACCAGGAUGGCUACAUCGUAGAAAGGAGAGCUUUAUUGGUGAUAUCAGUUUGCAAGCUGGGAAGAGAGGGUUUUCAGCAUGGACCGAAGGUGCUCUCUCUUUGAAGAGGGGAAGGAGAGGUUGGGUUUUAUGCCUCACUGGGCCUGUAUCAUACAUAUUCAGCAGAUGGGGUGAAAGCUAUGCCUAUUUGUGAGGGAGCCGUGCACAGGUGUAAUUCGUAAACAUCUAUGCAACAUACAUCCCAUGCUCUCUUUGGGGUUGAGUUUUAGAAUUAAAAUGAGAUGCAAUUUGGCUCUUUACGUCAAAAGGCGAACUAUAGGGCACAGAGACAACUUAUGCAUAGCCUGUAUAAGUUGCUGAAACUGGCUUGACAUCUGCAAUAUCUUAUCAGAGAAGAAUGUUUGUAAGUCUCAUCCUCUGUCCAAUCAGAGUUGUAGUGGUCUGGGUUGUAAGUGGGGUUGACAGCUCAUAUUGUUAGUGAGUUCAGCCAUAGGAACUUAGAUAUUUGCCAUGCCAGCCCGGCCCUGAACCUGUGAUAGUGGGUAACUUGGUUUCUUUAACCGUAGGGUGUCAGUUGAUAAAUGAGCAUCUAUUUUGUUCUCUCUAAUCACAUCUACAAUGGAGUGGGAACUCUAGAACAUGAGCUGUAAACACAGAAGUCCUGGAGCAGCCAGAGAAGGCCCAGGAAAGUCCAUGGAGAAGCCCACACUUCUGCUUCCCAGAGCUGAGCUGAAGGAGGAAUGCAGAGUAGUAUAUACUCAGCUGCUCCAGCAUCUGCCAUCUUGCUUAAUAGAACUUCUAAAAGGAGAAGAAGAAGAAAAGUAAAACAUAAACUAUUUUGCAGACUGGGAUGGGGGAAGGCUUAUAGUCUCCAUGCUCAUCAGAAGUGGGCACAAUCCAUCUACCAAACCCCUCUCCUCUGGUCCCCCAACAAAAGGCCGUUCCUUACCACCCUUUAAAAUCAGCACCUUGCUCUGCCAACUCGCAGCUCAAAAUGCCCAGUCGGAGUGUCUUAUGAGCGCAGUGAAUUAACUGCCGAGUCGAGAAGAACAGGCUUAUUGAAGUCGUCAAAGCUGAAAGCCUGUUUGAACCGUGAUGUGUCCUUGCCGAGCAUUUUAUGAAUAUGCAGAAUCAAAUAGGAGCUAGUAGAAGCCAGAGGGAGCAGGCAGAAAGGAUCUCUUUAAAAUCCCAGCCAAGGCAGGCACACAUUUCAACUCAUUAAAACACACAACAGACUGUUACAGACACUUUCAAAAAGAGCUUUCUACUGAGUAAUAUCCUAGAGGAUGUAUUUUUUUUUUUUUGUAGAAAGUUUCCCGGGGCAAUACCAAAUGUCCUAAGGCAGGUGUUUGUCUCAAAGGUCUAGACAGAAGUGAAGGGCAGCCUUUCUGUCGGUGACAAAUCAGAUCCAUGAUCUGGGCUUUCAAAAGACACUUCCCUCCGUUCCCCAGUUAUCCGUCUAAUCUCCCAGAUUCAUUUACACUUUUCAGUUUGAUGGUCUUCACUUGACAGCAUGGUCCAUAUGCUUGCCGCGUGUGAUGGAAAUGGUUCUGCUUGAACUCCCUUAGUUUUAAUUUUCUAAUUUUAGGGUUGGCUCUGGGUUUUUUCACCACUGGCAAAAAGUGAAGGACUCCCUCUCCUUUCUCACACACACCUUAGUGGAAUGGUCACGCUCCCUCCCUGAGAACUGAAGUUCCUUCCUAGAGUCACCUUGAAGAUUUCUCAGUAAAAAUCUAUCACUGUGCAGAUCCUUCUUACCACUUACUUAGGUGGGAGACUCCUCCCUGAAGCUCCUUCUCACAUGAGGUGGCAUCGGAUGCUGUCAUAUUCUUUUUCUUUUUUUUUUUGAGACGGAGUCUCACUCUGUCACCCAGGCUGGAGUGUAGUGGCGCGAUCUCGGCUCACUGCAAGCUCCGCCUCCUGGGUUCAUGCCAUUCUCCUGCCUCAGCCUCCAGAGUAGCUGGGACUACAGGAGCCCAGCACCACGCCUGGCUAAUUUUUUGUAUUUUUUAGUAGAGACGGGGUUUCACCGUGUUAGCCAGGAUGGUCUCAAUCUCCUGACCUUGUGAUCCGCCUGCCUCGGCCUCCCAAAGUGCUGGGAUUACAGGUGUGAGCCACCGCGCCCAGCCAGAAUAUUAACUUUUAAGGCAGCUGAUCAUUUUUAUUCCCGAUUAAUGCUCUAACUUCCUAACUGGCCUUGCUGUGAAUGAUUCCACCAUUAUUUUCUGAUGCUGGUCGGUUUUUCGGUGUUUUCCUUCUUUAGUUGUAUUGACAUGCUUUAUAUAUACUUACAGCCUUUAGUGAGUUCUUAUACAUAUUUCCCGGUGCAUAUUUGUUCCCCUACAGAGAGGAAGCUCCUUACUCUAUGAUAGGUAUUGUUCAAAGCAUUUUACAAAUACAAUCAUGCACCGUGUAACGACAUUUCGGUCAACAAUGGACUGCAUAUGUGAUGGGGGUCCCAUAAGAUUAUGAUUCUGGAGCUGGAAAAUUCCUACCACCUGGUAUUUACUAUACUGUACUUUUUAUUGUUAUUUUAGGGGGGUAAUUCUAAGGCAGGUCCUUUAGGAGGUAUCCAGAAGGCAUUGUUAUCAUUGGAGAUGACAGCUUUGUGUGUGUUAUUGCCACUGAAGAACUUCCAGUGGGACAAGAUGUGAAUGUGGAAGACAGUGAUAUUGAUGAUCCUGACAGUGUGUAGGCCUAGGCCCAGAUUUGUGUUUGGGUGUUAGUUUUUAACAAAAAAGUUUAAAAAGUAAAAGAAAAAAGAACUUUUAUUUAAAAAAAAACUUACAGAAUAAGGAUACAAAGAAAAUAUUUUUGUACAACUAUACACUGUUUUUGUGUGUGGGUUUUUUUUUUUUUGAGAUGGAGUCUCGCUCUGUCAGUCAGGCUGGAAUGCAGUGGCGCCAUCUCAGCUCAAUGCAACCUCCGCCUCCUGGGUUCAAGUGAUUCUCCUGCCUCAGCUUCCCGAGUAACUGAGACUACAG